Molecule: long non-coding RNA, 8186 nt
Filed under: Sus scrofa (pig)
Lineage: Eukaryota; Metazoa; Chordata; Mammalia; Artiodactyla; Suidae
Description: lncRNA (ENSSSCG00015049747.1)
Source: RNAcentral
AUACCAGACUUAAAGAUUUUGCUAUUUUAAUAUGUAUAGAAGUUAUAUGAACAAAUUUAUAAUUACUGAAAUUAAAUUCAAAGGAGACCUUCGCUCAGAAUCCUUCUAGCCAAAAAAUAGGACUGUUUUAAUUUCAUAAUCAUUUGUAUUCAUAAUACAAAAGCAAAUUUUAGCAUCAUAUCAGAAUUUCCUGUGUUACCACAUCAUCUUAUGAUGCUCAUUCUAAUGAAUCCAUAAUGUUCAAUCAAAUUUAAUCAAUAUUUAGUCUAAUUAGGAUAAUUAGAUUGUUACCAACUGUCCCCACCAUUGAUAUUGUUGAAAUACUUUUCUUUAGAACUGUCACUUCUUCUUUAUUUUAGCGUUGGGUUCACCAUUCCUAGGUUUAAACUCUGUCACUCCCGCUUACGAACAGUGAUUUUUGGCAAAUUAUUUACCUUAACUAAGUUUUAGAAUUUUCAUCUUUGGAAUGAAGUCACUGUUCAUUACUUGGCAAGAUUUCUUGGGAACUAAACUCUAAAAAUAUUGUAUUCAUUCCACACAUAUUUAAUGGACACGUAGUCUUUGGCAAGGACUGUUCGAGAUUUUAUGUAUGCUGCACUGAAGAAAACAGAAUAUCCUGCUGCCCUAUCAUAUUGCUAACAUCGGGAAAAUAUACAGUAUUAUAUACAUGGUAAUGAUAGAUGCUCAGGAUAAAAAUGAAGUAGUACAAAGAAGAUAGAGAGGGCCGAGGUGGAAGUCAUUAUUUCUAUUGAGUGGUUGUCUCAGAGUUUCAGAUGAGGUGAUAUUUGGGCCAAGAUGUGCAGAAGGCAAUGGAACAAGUGAUCUGACCAUCUAGGCGCGUGGAGUGGGGGUAAAGGAGAAUAUUAAAGGCGGAGAAAACGAGCUGAAAGGUUGCAUUCGUAGAGCAGAAAAGAGGCCAAUGAGACAGAAGCAAAGCGAGAGAGAAGGGGUAGGAGAUAGGGCCAGAGAUAAAUGAGGACGGGAGUGGGGGUUGCUCAUGAUUUAGAGUCUUGUAGGCCAUGGAAAGGAUUUGACUUCCUCUCUGAGUGAGACGGGAGUUAUUGCAGGGAUUUGAGUAGCGAGGAGAGACAACUGGAUUUAAGAUUUGAUAGGUUCCUUUUGGCUGCUGUGCUGAGAGUAUAUUCUAGGUUGGUGGUGGUAGAAGAAGGGGGACCGUUUAGAAGGCUACUGUAAAACCCAGGCUGGAAAUGGGAGUGGCUGAAGGGAAGAUCAUACAAAGAAGGGGAGAGAAGGAGUUGCAUUCUGGAUUUAUUUAAAAAAUAGGACUGAAAGUAUUUGAUGGCAAGUAGUUUGUAGGACGACGUUUGCGAGAGGAAGGAGUUGAGGGGGGAUCUCAACCGUUUUUCCCCGAGGCAGUUGAAAGAAUGGCAUUGUCAUUUCAUGAUGUGUGGAAGGAAAAUCAGAAAUUGAUUUUGACACAUUAUGUUUGAAAUUUGUAUUAUACUGUUCGGAGGUAUUCCAUAGACUGUUGAAUUUGUGAGUCUAGAGGAAGAUCCUUGCUAGAUUAUUAAACUUGAAAAUGGUCAAUAUGUAGAAGGUUUUCUAAUCCAUAAACAUGGAUGCUCGGCGAGAGAUGAGUGAGGUUAGGGAGGAAAAUAACUUGGAAGGCUGAGCCACUACGCAGUGCAAAUAUUUAACAGCGGUUGGGCCAUAGAAAUCAGCAAAGGAGAGAGAGAAUCAUUAGCCAGUGACUGAGGAGCAGAAGCAAGAGAAAGUUGUCUUCUGGAAGCCUAGUGAAGAGUAUUUGUCAAUAAGGAUGGAGUGACUUAUAAUAAGAGCACUACAAAGAAAAAAAUAAUUAUUUCUCAUUAAUUGUAUUGGAUGGCAACUUGGUAAUAUGUAUAAAAAUUACAAAUGCAUGCAUCUUUCAACUCAGUACUUCCAUUUUCAGGAACUUAAAUUGUAUAUAUAAUGUGGAAUUAUGUAUGAAAUAAUUAUGUAUGAAUACUGAAUUUUCAAUGAAAUAUCUUAUGUAAUAGCAGAAGAUUCAUCUAUGAUAGACUGGCUGUGUAACUUACUGUGCAUCCAUAUAAUGGAAUAUUAUGUAGUUCUAGAAAAGAUGAGCAAGUCCUCUCUGUAAGUAGUAUAAAAAAAUUCCAUGUUACAUUAUGAAGUGAACGCAUAUAGAGUAGACUAUCUUAUUUAUAGUAAUGGGAGGAAGUAAUAAUAUAACCCACCGUUGUUAUGUGUGCAUGAAUAAACAUCGGAAAUAUAUACAAGAAAAUAGUAAAAAUGUUACUACGUGGUGGGCAGAUAUGGAAGGAGAUAGGUCGCAGUGGGGUUGGGAGUGAGCAUUUUAACUAUAUACUAAAUAGAAAUCAUUUUUAUGGUUGAAUCAUAUUUUUUAAAAGGAAGAAGGAAGGCGAGAAGAGAUUACAUUUUUAAGCACUGCUAACAGGUUGCUAAGAUAAACUGAAAUAAACUGACCAUCAGAUUUAGUAAAGGAUUCAUUUCAAUAAAGAAAAUACCUUCUAGACGUUGCGUUGGAAAGGGGAGGAGAUGUGGAAUGAUGGCUAGAAGAGGAUAUGAGAAAAGAAUGUUGUUAGUUUAUGUAGCGAUGAGAAUAAUAGGUUAGAAAGGAAAACAUUGAUGAGGCUGAGAGAGAGAUAAUUGCCGUUGGGUGAGAGACCCAGCAGUGAUGCCGUUCCCUUCGAACUUUGGUUUCACCUGAGACGAGUAUCAGACUGUCCUCUCAGCAGACAUGUGUAACGCCUUCCUUCAUUUCCUUACCUCUCUGCGCUUUUGAACUGUUUCUCUGUUUUGCGACAGCAGUUCAGACUUUUUAGAGAUCUGAGCUCAUGGCCUUAUGUGGACUGGACAUCUAGUUUAUUCUUCAGAACCAUCCUGUGAUCUUCGUACUGCUGUUCCCAUUCCACAGAUAAAGAAAUUGAUAUUCAGGGUACCUUGCCCAUGCUUUUACAGUGGAUAGUAGUGCAUUCUAGAUUCAAACGUCAGCUCUUUCUGAAUCUAGAGGGUUUGGGUUUGGUUUGGUUUUCCGUAUUGUUAUGACUUUCAUGGGGAUGCUGAAAGGACUUCAGAGGACCAGCCUGUUACUUCAAGCAGUAAUAAAAUUUUCCUCUAUUUGUUCAUUCAACACUAGCUAUUGAGCACCUGUCUUGCAUUGGGCACUGAUCUAGGUAUGGAAAUAAAGGGAUGAAUGAAAUGGAUGUGAGUUCUGGCCUUAUUUUGCCCCUAAUCUUUUGAAGGAGAUUCAGCAAAUCCAUAUGGUUAUAAGAGGUGUUACAAUAGGCAAGAUGGUGUCUGUGAGUAGAAACUCUGUUCUAUGCUGAGGGGAUGGGCAAUAAUAAAAAAUGCUGUGGGCUGUAAAGAAAAUAGGGAUAAACUAUUCUUUUUUUCUUCUUCUUCUUUUUUUUAGCCUUUUUGCCUUUUCUAGGGCCGCACCCAGUGCAUAUGGAGGUUCCCAGGCUAGGGAUCCAGUGGGAGUUGUAGCCGCUGGCUUACACCAGAGCCACAGCAACGUCAGAUCUGAGCCGCGUCUGCAACCUACACCACAGCUCACGGCAGCGCCAGAUCCUUAACCCACUGAGCAAGGCCAGGGAUCGAACUCGCAACAUCAUGGUUCCCAGUCUGAUUCAUUAACCACUGAGCCACGAUGGGAACUCCAGGAUAAACUAUUUUGUCUUCAUUCAUUCACAUAAAUUAUUUGGUCAAAAUAAUUAUAAAUAAUCAUAGUAAAUUCGAAUUGAAAAGAAUCAAGAAUCACAGAAGAAAAUAUCCUAUAAGUACCUCAUAUAUUAGGGACUAAAAAAACCAAUGUUUUAUGGUACUUAAUAUGAAAUAAAAACAGUUUUUUUAAUUAAUUUAACUCAAUCCUAAAUGAGUCACAGUUUUAGAAAACUUGAAAAUAAAACUGAAUCAUCUGAAAGGUUUUCUUUGGUGAUCUCUUAAAAGUUUCAUGAAAGAAUUACAGAUAUUAUCUUUCAUCUUUAAAACCAUGUUCUUUGGCUCUCUAGAGGAAAUGGGGUGGGAAUAAAUAAUAUAUUUGUAAACCCAGGGUAGAAUAUAAUCUUGAUGUUAUGGGUAAGAGUUGGCAUAAACAAAACAGCUUAAAGUACAAAUAAUGCUAAAGUGUAGGAGGUGUGGGGAGAGACACAAGACUGAGAUGCAAUAAAAAAAGACAAGCACAUGACAUAAGUCCCUCAAUGUUUUAAAACUGAUUGUCAUCACAAGCAGAAAGUUUUCAGCCUUUUUGUAUUUCCGAUCCCGUACUUUGUUCCAGAGUCAUGAGAAUUAUAAAGAAUAACACAGUGUUUACCUUUUAAGAUUUUCUCCUUCUAAAACUGUGAUGCACCAUAACCAGAUUUUCUUCUUUUACAUUUUAGUCAAGCGGCGGAAGAGAAUUUUCUGAAUUAGACUUGAGGGAGAUGCUGUUGUGUGAUUUCCUUAACAUAUCCAGAUACUUUGGUGUGGUGUGCCCAUCUUUCCGUUCAAGAAGAGCAAGAGAAAGCCCUGGAUGUUGUUCAUGUAUGGAAAGCAGUCGUAACUUCCUUCAUUGUCUUUCUGCCUUCUUCCAACCCGGCACCUCGUGGCUUGAGCAUUCUUGAGGGAUUCCCUUUCAUUUCCUUGAUAAAGAAUCCACCCAUGAAAAUGUACAGCGUAGAUCAUCUCAUCUGAUCCCUGCCAUCUCCUAAACUUCCUUAACUUCCUGUCCUCAUCACUUUCUAAAUUCUCUCCCAUUCCCAGAAAAAUCCAUUCUGUUUCUCACUGUUCUGUAUUCAUGCAAUGCCUACAGUGUCAUCCUGCCUGCUCGUUGCCUUCCUCACUCAUCAAGACUCAGAUCAAAUGGUCCCCGCUUCUGGGUUGGCUUCCUUGACCUCUUCAAGUGGAGUUAAUCACCUCUGCCUCUCUGUUGCCAUCAUGUGUUUCUCUGGUCUUUGUUAGUUAUUUGCUUGUUUAUCUAUCUAGCUUUGUUCCCAGAUGGGAAGGCCAGUUGCAGUCACUUUAGUGUCACUGACCAGAGCCUGGUCUAUACUUGUUGUUUAAAAAUAUACAUGUUUAAUAAGUCUUUGGGGGGUACAGAGUGGGUGAGUGAACAUCAGAGAAUAAUAAGUAGGCUCGUAGAAUAGCCUGCUAGCUUUGAACCUGUCUCAUGGGGAUUUAUGGCUACUGGUUAGGGGAAAAAAAAGAGGCAGAUUAUGCAAAAGAGCUGGGAAAAAAAGGACAACUGGAGUUGGACAAAUUUUGAAAGAAUUGCAGUUUGUGUAUUUCCUGCAUUUAUUUCUAAAGGGCACCGCUUCAAGAGUGUUUCGUUGGAGUGUGGUUUUAAUAAAGUCUAGAGCCAUUUGCUUGUCCUCAAGAUGUUCCUUGUAACUCUGAGGCUAUAUCUAAAUUAAAGCUAAUGACCAAACAGAGAUUUUUUUUUUCCUCUGUUAAUGUCUAGCAGGAAAGAACCAUUAGCAAAUUUGUGAAUUAGAGUCUGUUUAUAAGUUAUUGAGAAGAAUCGUCAUGUAUUCCCUUAAGCAAUUCCCUCUGCCUUAAAAAAGUUAAGUACAACUGAUAUGUUCAGUGAGCAAGACUCAUGGGAUGUAAUCAAAAGCAACUUUAUUUCGUCUCCCACUAUUCUAAUAAAAUUUAUUCAGUGGGGAAGUUCCACUUCUGACCCUGAAUAAAAAGUCUUGCAGUCCAAAGAUUUUCUCUCCACUCAUAGGUAAUAAAAAGCCCUGCAGCCACUUUAAGUCACACACACAGUCUCCAUUGAAUAAUUAGAAAUGCCCAGAGCCCCGUGUAAUAAUCAGAGCUUCAAACUUUAUUCACAGUGAGAGGACGCCUUGUCCUCACAAGGGCUGGUCGCAGACCAGCCCUUUGACUUCUGUCUUACCUCCUUCUCCCUCACGUGUGGUUUUAUUUGUUGCUGCUAGAGUUGAAGUUCUGAAGGAGGGGUCAGGCAGAGGCCCAGGAGGUCUUAGUUGGCUGACACUGCUGCACAGCGGCAUUGGGGCUCUCAGUCUGCUUCUCCCACUCACAGGCUCUUGGUUGGGUUCUUCGGGAACUGCAUUGGGAGCCUCAGACGGUACUUCGUGGGCUGUGGGUCACUCAGGAUGUAGGCGACGCAGUCUCUUCUGCCUGACUCUUCCUGCAGCAGCCCCUCACGAUGGUCUUUCCCAGUUGAGGUGACCUGGCCCCUCCAGACAGUCCUCUUCAGCCUCCUUUCUGCAGCCUCCAGGUGGCCGCUCACCCGCCUGGGUCACAGGUAUGAACCCUUGCCCUCCUGAGCAGUGAAGGGGAGCCCCACGGAUUGGUACAGCCCAUGCUGACCUCUUUCACUGCUCACCACUUCCCGCUGAGAGCAGAACCUCUUUCCUCUCGAGUCCUUGGGCAUAUGUCCGAUCACCGUCCACUGUGCCUCCUCACCUCCUGGUGGUACAGGCCAGAGCACACAUUUCAGCCCCUUUGUUCAGGCUGAGUCUGAGGGCCGUGCAUCUCCUCCCCCUCCCACUCACAGCACACUGCUGUCUGCCUCUGAAGAUGACCCUCUUGGAGCUCCCUGGUGGCACAGCAGAUGAAGGAUCCAGUGUUGUUGUCCCUGCUCUGGCGUGGGUCUGAUGCCUGGCCGGGGAUGCUGUGGGUGUGGCAGACGGACAGUGACCCUCCCCAUCAAUCCCAUGCCAGUUUUCAAAAACUUUCCCAUUUUCCCUCCUUGAUGGGAGUGAGGGUUUUCAAGUGUCCUGUAACCGCUUUUCAGCAUUCCUUUUUAAAUUCUUCACAGUUUCUUUGGAAUCCAUCUUCUAUGGUAUCUUAGGGACUACGACGAAAUUUUCAAAUUAAAGUCUUGCAACUCAAGUAAAUAUUCACAAAACAGAAGUAAGUAGACUUCCGAAUCUGUGGCCCUUCACUGAUGGGCAUUACUGACUCUUCCGUAUGAAUUGCGGGCUCAUGAUCUGUAGAGGCCCUUAAGUAACAAAUGAAUUAAUUGUUCGUUAUGCCUUUGAUGUAGAUCUUGUCUUGAGACCCUCACAGGCCUAGCGAGUGGAGAGGUGAACAAGUGAAUCUUAGUAAUUGUUCUUUAGAAAUUCUCUAGCCAGUAAAUGGAGUGGAUUCUGGUUUGGACUGGAAAGGUGCUUAUUCGUAAAAAGGACACGGUAAAAUUUUCAAAAUAAGUGUAUGAUGAAUGAAGUAAACAACAGUCAGGUAACUAGGCUAGCCGUGCAGGAACUCACUUAUGUUCCUGUAAGGACUAGACUUACUGUGAAUGCUAAGAACAGAGGAAUAUAUGGUAUUGGUAGAAGAGUUUUUUUCCCCUCCGUUUGUCUUAGACUGAGUAGGACAGAGUAUUUAAGUAGAUGGUUUGUUUUUGAUGUGACAUCUCUAACUCCCUACCCCAGUCUUUUUUUCAGAGUUUUCUGCAAUCCUAAUUUACCUCCCCUUUUCAUAACUACAUUUCCCACCCGUACCACUUACUGGUCUAAGUUGGAGAUAGCAGAAAGUGUUCCUAUUGAAUUAAUGCAUACCAGUGUUUAAAUGGCUGGAAAUAGUUUAGUUUAUCUCUGCUAGGGAUCCAGUAUUUGCAUCUUUAAAAAGAGAGGCUUAUUGUUCUAAAAUAAUUUAAUUUGUGAAGGGAUAAAAUUACCUCCCAUAGGGGCUGGCUUAUAGUACACUUUCAAUGUUACUUGUGGAUGAAUGAAUAAAUAUUGGGCUCUCAGGCAGUAUAAAAAAAAAUAAAGUGAACAUUUUAUGCAGUUUAGGGAAGAUACUGUUAGACACAGGUGGCAUCUUUUUAAACUGACUUGCUCUACCUUGAGGGUCAGUGCCUUAGAUUGCGUUUUGCUUUGCAGAGUUCUAACAGUGAAACCCAUAGAGUAUUUCAAAAUCUAAACGUUUUGCAACUCACACAUGGAAGUAGGAAAAAAGGCAGUAGAAGAGGGGCAUUGAAAUUGUGUUGGGAAUUGUAAUGGCGAAGUUACUUGUUAGUCCACAUUUGAAAACUGCGGGGCUCUGAACUGAAAUACAGUAUGGGUAGAGUGUGAAAAUCAGGUUUUACCUGACUUUUAUUUAGCUUUUUGGUUUAAAUUAUCUGGCUCCUUCUAUCAAGACCAUAUUUGCUGAGCUCAUUGGUUUCUUUCAUAGCUAUUUUUCUUCUCUCAGUAAACCAAACUAAACUGUACCAAAGACUGGGCCCAAUGAGGGACAGGGAAAAAAAAAAAAAA